RNAcentral lists this transfer RNA (69 nucleotides) under Ictidomys tridecemlineatus (thirteen-lined ground squirrel). RNAcentral describes it as "Spermophilus tridecemlineatus (thirteen-lined ground squirrel) tRNA". It matches the Rfam family "tRNA". Rfam says of the family: Transfer RNA (tRNA) molecules are approximately 80 nucleotides in length. Their secondary structure includes four short double-helical elements and three loops (D, anti-codon, and T loops). Lineage: Eukaryota; Metazoa; Chordata; Mammalia; Rodentia; Sciuridae. The record is from Rfam by way of RNAcentral. RNAcentral also lists the same sequence under 1 other name.
GGGAUUGUGGCUCAGCGGUAGAGCACUCACCUAGCAUGUGCAAAGCCCUGGGUUCGAUCCUCAGCACCA